This 640-nucleotide ribosomal RNA is filed under the name uncultured prokaryote. Its description in RNAcentral is "bacterial SSU rRNA". It matches the Rfam family "Bacterial small subunit ribosomal RNA", at positions 28 to 660 of the family's 1533-position model. The record is from RNAcentral.
GAUGAACGCUAGCGACAGGCCUAACACAUGCAAGUCGAGGGGUAGCACAGGAUAGCUUGCUAUUUGGGUGACGACCGGCGCACGGGUGAGUAACGCGUAUGCAACCUGCCUAUAAGAGGGGGAUAGCCUUUCGAAAGAAAGAUUAAUACCGCAUAAUACCAAUUUGCUGCAUGGUAGAUUGGUUAAACUAUUUGGCUUAUAGAUGGGCAUGCGUUCCAUUAGAUAGUUGGUGAGGUAACGGCUCACCAAGUCAGCGAUGGAUAGGGGUUCUGAGAGGAAGGUCCCCCACACUGGUACUGAGACACGGACCAGACUCCUACGGGAGGCAGCAGUGAGGAAUAUUGGUCAAUGGGCGAGAGCCUGAACCAGCCAAGUCGCGUGAAGGAUGAAGGUCUUAUGGAUUGUAAACUUCUUUUAUAAGGGAAUAAAAAAGAUCACGUGUGGUCUAUUGCAUGUACCUUAUGAAUAAGCAUCGGCUAACUCCGUGCCAGCAGCCGCGGUAAUACGGAGGAUGCGAGCGUUAUCCGGAUUUAUUGGGUUUAAAGGGUGCGUAGGCGGUUUAUUAAGUCAGUGGUGAAAGUUUUCGGCUCAACCGGAAAAUUGCCAUUGAAACUGAUAGACUUGAGUGUAAACGAGGUAG